CAAUAGCGUAUAUUUAAGUUGUUGCAGUUAAAAAGCUCGUAGUUGGAUUUCGGAUGGGACUUGCCGGUCCGUCGUUUCGAUGUGCACUGGCCAGUCCUAUCUUGUUGUCGGGGACUAGCUCCUGGGCUUCACUGUCCGGGACUAGGAGCUGACGAGGUUACUUUGAGUAAAUUAGAGUGUUCAAAGCAAGCCUACGCUCUGAAUACAUUAGCAUGGAAUAACACGAUAGGACUCUGGCUUAUCUUGUUGGUCUGUGAGACCAGAGCAAUGAUUAAGAGGGACAGUCGGGGGCAUUCGUAUUUCAUUGUCAGAGGUGAAAUUCUUGGAUUUAUGAAAGACGAACUUCUGCGAAAGCAUUUGUCAAGGAUGUUUUCAUUAA
RNAcentral lists this ribosomal RNA (379 nucleotides) under uncultured eukaryote. RNAcentral's name for it is "partial 18S ribosomal RNA". It matches the Rfam family "Eukaryotic small subunit ribosomal RNA", at positions 592 to 976 of the family's 1831-position model. The record is from RNAcentral.